Molecule: ribosomal RNA, 371 nt
Filed under: uncultured eukaryote
Lineage: Eukaryota
Description: partial 18S ribosomal RNA
Rfam family: Eukaryotic small subunit ribosomal RNA
Source: RNAcentral
CAAUAGCGUAUAUUAAAGUUGUUGCAGUUAAAAAGCUCGUAGUUGAAUUUCUGUCAGGAGUGACCGGGCCUUUGGAUGAACUUCCAUUGUUUUUUGCUCUGUUUGUCAUCUCUAGACAUCCUGAAAUAUUUUUUAAAAAUAUUUCUCUUUUACUGUUAGCAAAAUAGAGUGUUCCAAGCAAAGCGUAGUUUUGAAUACAUUAGAAUGGAAUAAUAAGAUAGGACUUUGGUGCUAUUUUGUUGGUUCGCACACCAAGGUAAUGAUUAAUAGGGACAGUUGGGGGUAUUCGUAUUUAAUUGUCAGAGGUGAAAUUCUUGGAUUUAUGAAAGACGAACUACUGCGAAAGCAUUUACCAAGGAUGUUUUCAUUAA